CUACGGGGCGCAGCAGUGGGGAAUAUUGCACAAUGGGCGAAAGCCUGAUGCAGCAACGCCGCGUGAGCGAUGAAGGCCUUCGGGUCGUAAAGCUCUGUCCUAAAGGAAGAAUUUUUGACGGUACUUUAGGAGGAAGCCCCGGCUAAUUACGUGCCAGCAGCCGCGGUAAUACGUAAGGGGCUAGCGUUAUCCGGAAUUACUGGGCGUAAAGGGUACGUAGGCGGUUUAUUAAGUCAGGGGUGAAAGGCUACGGCUCAACCGUAGUAAGCCUUUGAAACUGAUAAACUCGAGUAUGGUAGAGGAAAGUGGAAUUCCUGGUGUAGCGGUGAAAUGCGUAGAUAUCAGGAGGAACAUCGAUGGCGAAGGCAGCUUUCUGGGCCAUUACUGACGCUGAGGUACGAAAGCGUGGGGAGCGAACAGGAUUAGAUACCCUGGUAGUC
This 440-nucleotide ribosomal RNA is filed under the name uncultured bacterium. Its description in RNAcentral is "partial 16S ribosomal RNA". It matches the Rfam family "Bacterial small subunit ribosomal RNA", at positions 339 to 795 of the family's 1533-position model. The record is from RNAcentral.